RNAcentral lists this ribosomal RNA (497 nucleotides) under uncultured bacterium. Its description in RNAcentral is "partial 16S ribosomal RNA". It matches the Rfam family "Bacterial small subunit ribosomal RNA", at positions 29 to 507 of the family's 1533-position model. The record is from RNAcentral.
AAUGAACGCUGGCGGCAUGCCUAACACAUGCAAGUCGAGCGGACAGACAAUAAGCUUUUUCUCCUGCCGUUAGCGACUGACGGGCGAGUAACACGUGGAUCACCUACCUCUAUUACUGGGAUGACUACGGGGAACCACUGCCACUACCGGAUCAUAUAUUCAACGGCAUAGAUCAAUAGAGAAUGACGGUUUUGCCGUCUCUUAUAGAUGAAUCCGGGCCGCAUUGUCGAGGUGGUAAGGUAACGGCUUACCAAGGCAACGUUGCGUAGCCGAGCUGAGAGGGUGAUCGGCCACACUGGAACUGAGACACGGUCCAGACUCCUACGGGAGGCAGCAGUAGGGAAUGUUCGGCAAUGGGCGAAAGCCUGACGGAGCCACGCCGCGUGAGUGAUGAAGGUCUUCGGAUCGUAAAACUCUGUUAUUGGGGAAGAACAAAUGUGUAAGUAACUAUGCACGUCUUGACGGUACCUAAUCAGAAAGCAACGGCUAACUACGUG